UGUGUGUGUGUGUGUGUGUGUGUGUGUGUGUGUGUGUGCAGAUGUACUCGUCAGUCUGUGUGUUUGGGUGUGUGUGUGUGUUUUGUGUGCACAGGGAGCAGUGUGAAUGUUGUUUCGUUGCGUUACGUUAUCUUUGUUUUGUGUAGAGAGUCUCUAUGAUUCCUGUAUAUAUACGUCCUGGGCCCCUUCCAUCUGUCCUCUGUGGAGACGCCUAGGAGGGCCAUUAACGACCAGAAGAGUUUAACCGAGUGGAACUCCGUCUGUGGAUGAAACCCCCCUCAUCAGACCAACCUCCGACAACCUGUCGGUCGCAUAUGACUCCAGCCCACGGACCAUCAGAGAAAGACUGGUACAGAAUCUGGAGGGUGUCUUAACUUGUGACCCUCUGACCUUUGACCUCUUGCCCCACCCCCACCCCCCAUCAAAAGGGUUGCUAAAAAAGGGUUCUCUUAGGCAAGACAGGAAACUGACUUUGACUCAUUCAAGCAUUUCAGGUUGUUGUCGUCACAGUUUUUUUUACAGUCUAAAAGAAAAUCAUGUUUGAAACCAAUCCUGUCUGAUAAAGUACUACAGAAGACGGCCGAUACUGCAGUGUUUUUGUUGUGUCUACUCCGCGUGGGUACCAUACACUGUACUUAUCAUGCUAAUCUGCGCUGAUUUACUCAUCCAAUUACCUGAGUGAUUGUCGAUUGAUCGACUGAAACACAGUGUGAUGAAUGUCUGUCCUUUGCCUGCACUGACGUUGGAUCCCUUUAAAGUAAUUUGGCUGCACGGCUAACUCCAGGGAACGCCAUCAGACUGAGUUAUGGACUGUUUGGCUUCCCUGCGCUCAGUGCUGGCCGUUGGCCCAGAGCCGCUGCUCUGGACGCCACCACUCUGACAUUUGUGUCCCCGUGUGAAAUAUUGGGCUGGCUUCCCAUCUCCUCUUUGUGUGUUUUUGUGGUUGCUGGCCGGGGGAGCAGACACAGUGAACAUUGGACUGUGGAGGAACUUCAGUGACUAAGGGAAUUACGCGACGAAGAAGAGAAGAAAGUUCAGAACUCGGGCGUGGAGAAUCAAUUCAGGAGGAACGGACAAUCUUAAGAGAUAGUCUAAGGACUUUGACACACAUACAGUUUACUGUUCUGUGUUGUGUGUGUGUGUGUGAGUGCGUCUUUUCUGCUCAUAUCCCAAGCUUGUGAUAUGGUGCCAUCCUGGCAGGACCCCCUAUGGAGCUACAACACAUCUGUCUUUCUAACGUAUCGUAGCCUCAGGGUUAGCACUGCCUUGCAGCUUUUAAAGAGCAACUCGGAGCAUGAUGAAUGCAAACCAUUCCUGAGUGUGGUUGCUUACGUUAGCUUCACGCUACGAAUCGGAAGACAAAUAUGUGUCCACAAAACCAACAAGUCCAGCUGCAACGUAUGAUGACAUUAAAUGAGACCCUGUUUUUUAAACGAUGGCAACAGAUAAAAAACAAACAAGCAUGCAAAGACUAUGACAACAGCUCCACUCACUCAUUCUCCACCGGUUGGUUUCUUCGAAGGGAUCGUGUGAACUUUCCUUUAUUCCCAGUAUUUUUCUUGUGUUGGCUGAAACUAGGUCUUGAACCUGUGAACAGAUCUAUUCUAAAACCUACACUCUAUGUAACACUCUGGAAGCAGGCCAUGGUUGGCUUAUGCAAACUGAUGGAAUAUUUUUUCAAAACCAUAUAUGCAUGUUUACAGCGCCAUGUUGAAUCGUCACGGCCCACUCUGCAUUUUUGAGUGUCGGUGGUUGUCGCGGUGAUUCCUAGAACAACAUGGGGUUGGUCUAUGGAAGCUCACCUUCCAUCCAACCUUGACCUUCACCCGCUGGGCCCAGAUGUAGCUCUCACCUCCCCUACCGUCUGUAAGACGGGGGCAACAGCUGUAGACAAACAGCUGAUGGUUUGUGUGUUCUACAAAAACACAAACAAAUUGGAGAAUUCCAGGCACGCUAGAUAUAAAAAUGUAAUCAUGCCUUUAAGUCAUUUAUUUCUACUUUAUAUCUUGGCUGAAUCGACACACUUUCUACCUUCAAACCUCGAAACUCCCAGCUCUGCACCCCUGCGGUAUUGGUGGCCUUUCGGCUGCUUUGGCACCGUAACACUCUGUGGUGCGGACGGAGAGGAGGCCAGGGAGGAUGUCUCUGAACUUGUGUUGUUUCAGCCAAGGGCGAAAUAUUGGAGAUAUGGUUCUGCAAUCCAGGUGUUUUUUUUUUUGUGUUUGAAUUGCAGCAUUUUCUGUUUUUUUUGUGCAUUUUUUUAUUUCAGAUUUCAGAUGGCAGCAUGAACAUCACAGGUCACGUAAAGUUGAAAAGCCCUAAUUUCAUGGGAAACCCAGGAGAUGCUCUCCACAUGGACUUUGGGUUUGUACAUGUUGGGGCUUCAACCUAAUGAGCUUUACCUGUGAGCCCCUGCUGUGUGUGUCUGUGUGAGCGGGAAAGGUCACACGCUCCUUUGCAGAGUUACAUAAAGUGUAGGUGAUGAUUGGAUAGGCCUGUCGGAAAAAAGUAGGCAUGAUAUAUUUUUUACCCACGCUAUAUCCUUUUAACACCUCUACGUCUUGAGCCAAACGUCUAUAUUCAUUUCAAUUAAACCUUGAGUUAAAGUGUUAGGUUAUAGGUUUGGGUUUGAAACCCAAACCUAUAACCGCUGUCUUUUGCUGUCUUACCGCACAGCAAAACGAACCCCAGACAGAGGCAGUGAUAUACUGUAUAUACUCACACUAAACGUUGACAUUCAUGUAUGAAGUUGAGAUCCUUGGUUCCGGUUCAUUCCAGAUACCUACUCCUCGAAGGAAAUUCACUGUAACAACAAUUGAACUGAAAAACUAACGUAGCUUGUGUGUCCUUGGAAGAAAGGCUUAUUUUCUUAUGAGAACAAUCUUUAAAUCUUGUUGACCUGAGUUUUUAUUUACUUAAAUGUUUGAUUAUAUUAUGUUCAAUUUAAUUUGCUCAUGGAACCUUCGAUGUAGAGUUAGAGCUGCAUGUUUUGUACUGAAAUUCUAUCAGCUGUUAAUUCUAUCAGCUGCUAAUUCAAAGCUCACCUAAUCUUGACUGAAUGAAUUGUUUGGUUUGCGUCAUCUAUUCGAUCUGAUUCCAUUACGUCUGUGUGAAGAACAAGACAAAACCAGGUUCCUUUUGUUCUGCUUUGCCAAGUGUGUUAUUGCAAAAAAAGAUUGCUGUCAUAGAGGCCGACAUUUAUCUUGGGUAACAUUUGAUGGGAAUGGGAGGCAAUGCGAUUAAGAAUUCUCCAAGGGCAUCCCUGUGUCUCUCGCCACCGUCACUGUUGUCCGAAUGUCACUGUUGAUCGUGUCGUAUGGGUGCCAUCUUGUGGUGGAUAUGUGUAAUUACAUUGCAAAAUAAAUUGCAGUCGUUUCA
Gadus morhua (Atlantic cod) is the source of this 3378-nucleotide long non-coding RNA. RefSeq lists it as uncharacterized. The transcript has 2 exons. The record is from RefSeq and is a predicted model, not a curated record. Lineage: Eukaryota; Metazoa; Chordata; Actinopteri; Gadiformes; Gadidae.